GGCGCCGUGGCCAAGUGGACUAAGGCAGUGGAUUGCAAAUCCACCAUUCGUGGGUUCGAAUCCCACCGGCGCCU
Molecule: transfer RNA, 74 nt
Filed under: Planctomycetaceae bacterium
Lineage: Bacteria; Pseudomonadati; Planctomycetota; Planctomycetia; Planctomycetales; Planctomycetaceae
Also listed under: 1 other name
Description: tRNA-Cys
Rfam family: tRNA
About the family: Transfer RNA (tRNA) molecules are approximately 80 nucleotides in length.
Source: RNAcentral